AAGAUGCAAUGCCAGCUAUUUAGGACAGACACAUCCAAGGCCGUGUGAGAACUCAGUUAGGACUACAUAUGCGUUAACGCAGGAACUGGCAGGCCUCUGGGCUACGGCAACUAUAGGACUCGUGCUUCUUGUACACGGGGCUAUAAUUUAUGAAACGGAGCCCCAGAUCCAGCCAAUCAUUUAGCUCCUCAUAACAAGUCUGACUGGCUCUGGAAAGCUGAAAGGGCUGCGCUAGAGCAACAAGGAUGAGAUAGUCCACACAAUCGUCGGCUUCUCCGGAAUCACUUGGCCCUGCGAGGCCAGAGAAAAAUCACAGCUUCGCUGUCACAGGGAAGGAGGGCAGAUGACCCGGAAAAACGUGACUGGAUCUGGAGCGAGAGCUUUCUCGUCUGGCUUGGCAAUCCCACCCGUGCCUGCCUCAGAAGACGAAGCUGCACCCCCGCCCCCCCUGCCCAGAAAUCUAAAGGACAGCUACGGCAGCAAAACCUGAGGUUAUUGGCUGAAUUCAACGUGAGAUUUGAUGCCAAGAAGGAAAGCAUACCAGUACACAGAAAACAGAAAAAGUCUUCCAUUGGCAAUUCCCACCCCCAAGCACUGUUGCCUGCCAUGACUAGGGGAGAACCGAAAUUUCUCAGGAAGUGUAUUUGCCGAACCUGUUGUUCCCUUUACUGCAAGUGUCGGACUCCACCUCAAGCUACCUGAGAUCUUGGGACCAGUUUGCUUGCUGAUAGGCAACUGCCAAUACUUCACACGCUGACACUUUAGGGCCCGCAUCUUGGGAUGUCAACUCAAAGGGAAAUGGUUGCUUAGAAAAGUGGCUGCAAAAGGCUUGUCCCACUUUAACAAAGCCAAAAAUAAAAUUUAUAUUUAAAAAUAAAAUAAAAUAAGAUUUACAUUUAAAUAAAA
Molecule: long non-coding RNA, 906 nt
Organism: Canis lupus familiaris (dog)
Lineage: Eukaryota; Metazoa; Chordata; Mammalia; Carnivora; Canidae
Exons: 4
Source: RefSeq, a predicted model, not a curated record